Molecule: non-coding RNA, 73 nt
Organism: Treponema sp. GWC1_61_84
Lineage: Bacteria; Pseudomonadati; Spirochaetota; Spirochaetia; Treponematales; Treponemataceae
Source: Rfam
GGGCCUAUAGCUCAGCGGUCAGAGCUGCGGACUCAUAAUCCGUAGGUCCCUGGUUCAAAUCCAGGUGGGCCCA